AAGGGCCAGAGGCUACGGCAGCCUCAGGGAGGGGAGGGCAGGCGGCACGUACCGGCCAUUUUUGGCUCGGGUGGGGCUGUUUGGAAUCUGUAACCUGAAGGCA
Molecule: long non-coding RNA, 103 nt
Filed under: Bos mutus (wild yak)
Lineage: Eukaryota; Metazoa; Chordata; Mammalia; Artiodactyla; Bovidae
Description: GNAS antisense RNA 1 conserved region 1 (ENSBMUG00000019573.1)
Rfam family: GNAS antisense RNA 1 conserved region 1
Source: RNAcentral